GGCACCAAAGAGGCAUUAAACAAAUGUCGCCUUGUUUUUGCCCGGGUGAGUGUUAACUACCUAUACCUUCUUACCUCUAAGUAGCAUUAUUAGGAGACAUCUAGCUAGCUAACUUUAGCUACAUGGACUCAUGUAAGGCAGUGUUACGGCUGUCGCCUUGCCUUCAGCAUUAACUGGCCUGUGAGUGUGUUGUGUGUGUAUAUAUGUGUAUGUUUGUUAUGUGUUUAGCUUAGGAUAUAUUGUGUUUUGUGUGUAUAGACAGCUCAGAGCCUUUGAACAGCCUGCACGUUGUUUAUAUCACUCUAUGUUGAGGUUAAUAUUAAAAACAACCUCUUUACCAAGACCAUCUGGUUAUGUGUUGCUUGUGAUGUUGUUAAAUGUAUGUUACCAACUCGCAAGUUGUGAACUGGAGCUUCAAUUGUGUAGGUCAACCAUUCCCAGAGGUCUGGAGAAACACCAUUUAAAAACGUGGAUUGUAGCUAAAGAAGAUGGAGAGGUUGUUACAGCACACUGUAACUGUAUGGCUGGUUUGUCAGAAUCCUGCUCACAUGUUGGAGCAGUUAUGUUUGCAAUCGAAGCAGGUGUGAAGAUGAGAGAGACUGCAUCCUGCACCACUGAGAAGUGCAAGUGGCUAAUGCCAUCACAUGUCAAAAAGAUUCCUGCUGCUCCAGUUGCGAUGAUAGACUUUUCAUACGCAAAAUCCAAAAAGCAAAAACUGGAUGAUGCCAUUGCUGGAAGGACAGGUGAGAAGCACACAUUUCAGCGUCCCACAGUCCAGGGUUCAAAAUUGGAGCGAGGAUCAGAGAGGUAUAUGCAGUUUUUCAAGACUUUGAGCAGAAAUUCCCCAAGAAGUGCUGCACUGAUGUCCAGGGAACCAUAUUACAGAGAAUUUGUCCCUAAAUCUGUGAGCAAGCUACCUAAACCACUACCUCAGUGUAGGACACCAGAGAUGCUACAGCUAUCCCCAACAGAGUUGCAGAAUGCAUGCCAGGACUUCAGACAGGAAGAGCUGACACAGCCACAGGUCCAGGCAGUAGAGGAGGAGACCAGAAACCAGAGCUUAUCAGCAAUAUGGUUUAGCCAAAGAGCAGGAAGGAUCACAGCCUCAAGACUGAAGCAGGUUCUACAGACUAGUCUUGCACAGCCAUCAAAGUCCUUGAUCAAGUCCAUAUGCUACCCAGAGGCAUACAAGUUCUCUACAGCUGCAACAAGGCAACUGCCCGAAAGCAGUAUGAAGGAGUACAAAGUCUGCACCACCAGGGUUUCAGCUGUAAAGACAGCGGGCUUUGGCUGAACCCUCAAUGGCCAUACAUGGGAGCGUCGCCAGACGGAUGUGUCACGUGCACCUGCCAUGGAACUGGUAUCUGUGAGAUAAAGUGCCCACACAGCAAACAAGAGGAGGCCAAUCUUCGCCUGUGUGCUGGAGAACAGGGCUUCUGUCUCGUCAACGAUGGGGGCACUGUGAAGCUGGACAGGAGACAUGCCUACUACCAUCAAAUACAGGCUCAGCUCCACCUCGUUGAUGUUGACUACUGCGACUUUGUUGUCUGGACUAAAAAUGACCUCUUUGUAGAGAGAAUUGUGCGUGAUGUGGACCUGUGGGACAACAUCAUUCCCAGAGUUGAGCGUUUCUUCAGACUAUGUGUUCUCCCUGAAGUGUUGGGACAGCAACUUACAAGGGGAAAGUUUCAGUUGCAAGAUGAUCAGGAGGGAGAGAAGGCGUGAUUACCAGCACCUGUGGUCUGUCCUGGUCCCGGAAGUUGUGGUUCUCUCCUUGUUGCAUUAUUAUUACGUGCCGUAGUGGGUGCUGGUGUUUGGGUGUGUGUGGGUGUCUUUUUCUCUCUCCCUCUGAUCUCCCCAGGUGCUCCCAAUCUCCAAUCAGCGCCUCCAUAUAGGACAUGAGGAAGGUUGCAGUCGCUCUCCCCUUAUCUUAAGCUUUGUUUGACAAGUUGGCUGGUGAGCCCUUUUUCGUUGUGUUAAUUAAAAGACCACUUUAUGGCGUCAGAGAUCAGUUUCCUCUCCUUUUUCUCUCGGCCGGUUAUGUUGUGUGUCGCUACUUCCCUUUGUACCCCUAUAUUUACAAGGGAACGUAAUAUUUGCACAGUGGCAGCUCUUUAACCUGCAUUACAGCACCUUCAUAUUCACUGACCACACUCACUAGAGGAAGUAGGGCUGUGUGAUAUAUUGCUAUUGUAAAAAAUAUGUUUACUGAAAAGAUUAAAUGAUA
RNA transcript from Gymnodraco acuticeps, 2227 nucleotides. RefSeq lists it as uncharacterized. The record is from RefSeq and is a predicted model, not a curated record. The transcript is spliced from 6 exons. NCBI's taxonomy places the organism in Eukaryota, Metazoa, Chordata, Actinopteri, Perciformes, Bathydraconidae.